This 73-nucleotide transfer RNA is filed under the name Theionarchaea archaeon DG-70. RNAcentral describes it as "tRNA-Gln". RNAcentral also lists the same sequence under 3 other names. The record is from RNAcentral. Lineage: Archaea; Methanobacteriati; Methanobacteriota; Theionarchaea.
AGCCGGGUAGGGUAGGGGACAAUCCUGUGGGGCUUUGGACCCCGCGACCCCGGUUCGAAGCCGGGCCCGGCUA